GACGAACGCUGGCGGCGUGCUUAACACAUGCAAGUCGAACGGUAAGGCCCUUCGGGGUACACGAGUGGCGAACGGGUGAGUAACACGUGGGUGAUCUGCCCUGCACUUCGGGAUAAGCCUGGGAAACUGGGUCUAAUACCGGAUAGGACCCUGGGAUGCAUGUCCUGGGGUGGAAAGCUUUUGCGGUGUGGGAUUGGCCCGCGGCCUAUCAGCUUGUUGGUGGGGUGAUGGCCUACCAAGGCGACGACGGGUAGCCGGCCUGAGAGGGUGACCGGCCACACUGGGACUGAGAUACGGCCCAGACUCCUACGGGAGGCGGCAGUGGGGAAUAUUGCACAAUGGGCGCAGGCCUGAUGCAGCGACGCCGCGUGAGGGAUGACGGCCUUCGGGUUGUAAACCUCUUUCAGCACCGACGAAGCGCAAGUGACGGUAGGUGCAGAAGAAGGACCGGCCAACUACGUGCCAGCCGCCGCGGUAA
RNAcentral lists this ribosomal RNA (478 nucleotides) under uncultured bacterium. Its description in RNAcentral is "partial 16S ribosomal RNA". It matches the Rfam family "Bacterial small subunit ribosomal RNA", at positions 28 to 523 of the family's 1533-position model. The record is from RNAcentral.